GCAUCUAGAUUAGACUUUGAUCCUGGCUCAGGACGAACGCUGGCGGCGUGCCUAAUACAUGCAAGUCGAGCGGAUGAAGGAGAGCUUGCUCUCCGGAUUCAGCGGCGGACGGGUGAGUAACACGUGGGCAACCUGCCUGUAAGAUCGGGAUAACUCCGGGAAACCGGGGCUAAUACCGGAUGGUUCCUUCCUCCGCAUGGAGGAAGGCGGAAAGACGGUUUCGGCUGUCACUUACAGAUGGGCCCGCGGCGCAUUAGCUAGUUGGUGGGGUAAUGGCCUACCAAGGCAACGAUGCGUAGCCGACCUGAGAGGGUGAUCGGCCACACUGGGACUGAGACACGGCCCAGACUCCUACGGGAGGCAGCAGUAGGGAAUCUUCCGCAAUGGACGAAAGUCUGACGGAGCAACGCCGCGUGAGCGAAGAAGGCCUUCGGGUCGUAAAGCUCUGUUGUAAGGGAAGAACAAGCAUCGGUUAACUGCCGGUGCCCUGACGGUACCUUACCAGAAAGCCACGGCUAACUACGUGCCAGCAGCCGCGGUAAUACGUAGGUGGCAAGCGUUGUCCGGAAUUAUUGGGCGUAAAGCGCGCGCAGGCGGUCCUUUAAGUCUGAUGUGAAAGCCCACGGCUCAACCGUGGAGGGUCAUUGGAAACUGGGGGACUUGAGUGCAGAAGAGGAAAGCGGAAUUCCACGUGUAGCGGUGAAAUGCGUAGAGAUGUGGAGGAACACCAGUGGCGAAGGCGGCUUUCUGGUCUGUAACUGACGCUGAGGCGCGNNGCGUGGGGGAGCAAACAGGAUUAGAUACCCUGGUAGUCCACGCNUAAACNAUGAGUGCUAAGUGUUANGGGGGUUCCCGCCNC
RNAcentral lists this ribosomal RNA (859 nucleotides) under Bhargavaea ginsengi. RNAcentral describes it as "bacterial SSU rRNA". It matches the Rfam family "Bacterial small subunit ribosomal RNA", at positions 1 to 839 of the family's 1533-position model. The record is from RNAcentral. Lineage: Bacteria; Bacillati; Bacillota; Bacilli; Caryophanales; Caryophanaceae.